Molecule: RNA transcript, 4320 nt
Organism: Quercus robur (English oak)
Lineage: Eukaryota; Viridiplantae; Streptophyta; Magnoliopsida; Fagales; Fagaceae
Gene name: probable glutathione S-transferase
Exons: 8
Source: RefSeq, a predicted model, not a curated record
UACAUCUAAUGUGGCGUUUGCAGAACACAAAAAUUGAACUUUGAAAGGCAUGGAUCCCAGUAAAGCCCAAUGAUAUCUCCUACCUUCAAUUUCCUCCUAGCCACAAAAUCCUCGUGCCAUUUUCCAUUGAAAACAUAACUCUUAGACGAAGGCCACAGCGCUCAGCGUCGCCAUGGACGACGUACCCUCUUCUUCUUGUGCGUUGGAGGCCACUAUGGAAUUGUGAGAAAUGGAAGUAGCAGUAGCGUAUUCGUCUUUUUGCGUGCUUUUUCUCAUAUUAUUGAAAGAAACCCAUGAUUUAUCAAACAGCGUCAGUGCCGUCGAAACCUCUUUUUGUUCUUGUUUGGUGCGAAACUCAAAAGAAAGCGUUUGGGUGUUUUGGUUUUCCAGAGUUUGUAGCAGAUUCUGAGUGCCGUCGUCGUCAGAUCAGCUCUCUCAAACCUUGCUCUGUGCAGAUCAGCAAUGGCUGAGCAUGGUGGGUCCGUGGAGGUGUCCUUGCUCCGUGUAGAUCGGCGGUGGCUGAGCAUGGUGGGUCCGUAGGGGUGCUGUGGUUUGGGUUCGUGCGUUUGGGUCCGUGGAUUUGGUCCGUGGAAUGGGUCUAGGAUGUUCACGAUAGGUUUCAAACUGAAUCCCAUUAUGGGCUGCUGGAAGCUUUAAUGAGUGUUUCUUGUUAUAACUUGCAUCAUGUAAAGCAUGUGUAGUCAUGAAUGAUGAACCAAAUAUUUUACCAAUUUUAUCUCAUAUAAGGUCAAUUACUCCAGUUCCAGUUAAAGAGGUAACUUUUGUCAACUUCAAUAUAGUUGUUUGGAAGAAAAUAGAAAUUUUAAUGAUUUUUUCAGUUUUUUUGGCGGCAUCCCCAAACAAAACUGCAGAACUUUUGUUGUAUCAUCCUAUUCUGCGUGUGAUUGACUGUGUAGUUGUUUAUACACUAUACUAAAAGGGAAUAGUAUGAUGUGUGUUUACAGUAGUGGUCAAUCGUAAUGCACUCUGAUUUCUCUCAAGCUCUUGAUAACUUUUUCUUGGCUCUAUUGAUUAUUGAAGGACUCCAAAGGGCUUUCUGAGGCAGAAAGAGACCUGAAAAAGCUGAAAGAUUAUGCUGCACUUGGACAAGACACUUCAAAGUACAGUCACCUCGCUAGCUGCUCGUGGCCGUGGGAAAUCUGCUGCACUUGGUUUAGCAAUUGCUGGAGCUAUUGCUGCAGGGUAAUCUAAUAUCUUUGCAACUGCACCCAGUCUGGAAAACUUGAAAACCUUGCUUGAAUUUAUUUGCAAGGGUUUUGAUACUCUUGUAAGGAACAUUUAGAUUUUGAUGUGGUGAAAAGUAAUAAUCCUGAAUUCAAGAAAGCAACUGCGCGGAUCAAUAUUUGCAAGCAACACAGACAAACAAUUCAGGUUAAUUGACUUAAAUGGAUUUUUAUUGUUUAAUGUGACAUUAUCAAUUUUUUCUCUGUAUGGGUAUAUUGUAGGUAUGUGAAAAUGGUUUUACAUAAUGAUGGUCCUUAUAAUGUUAUAUGCAACAACUUAUUCAAAAAAUGUUAGAUGCAACACUUGGCCAGCUGCAUAUGCUAAUGCAGCUGAUCAUCUGAAAUAGAUUGUGCCAUAUGUAAGCGGUCGUAGUUUCUGCCUUUUAAUGUAAUUUUAUGGUACAAGUCACAAUAAUCUACAUUCAGAAGAUAUUGGUCUCGUGCAUGGGGUUUGAUAAUUUUUGUCAUCACUAGAUUUCAGGCUGAGAUUACUAGAUUAUUGAAUCUUAGCUUUUGUGAAAUGGAGUAUAAGCUUGUCAUGAGGUUGGUAUUUGAAAAUUCACCCUUUUCAGAUGUGUGUUCAUUUUCAAAUAUGCUCAUGCUACUCAUAAUUUUUCAGCAUCCUGGAUCCAAAGAUCAAUUUCAUGGAGCUGGAAUCUACACUUUCCACAUCAGAUGGAUUUUUGAGUUCAUUUAAAACAUGUUGUCACCACAUGAUAUGAAGUACUGGAAGCUUAUACCAACAAUCAUGCUGGCUUUCAUUUGGUAAGAUCUCUAGAAAGUAGUUAGGAGCAACUAUAUGCAUUAAUGUUGUCCAUUUAUCUAUGUUAGUGGCUUUGUCUUUCAGUAAUUGUUGGCAAUUUCCAGUAUAGCCAAUCACAAACAAUCCAUGGUAUCCAAGCCAAUGACAAAUUUCUGUCUUCCUUGAUACUUUUGAAGUGAUGGAAAAAGUAAUAUAUGCUUCUGUGACCUAUACAUAAGAAGCUUUAAAAACACGUUGCCUCAUGGGAUUAUCUGUUCUUUCCAUCUUUUCAAGCGUCAUUCUUCUUUUUCUAUUUAGACUGUUCUUUAUUUUCUGAUAGUACAAAGUUUUCCUUAUUACUGAUUUGGAGAAUCAUUCAAAGUUAUUAAUACCUCACCAUACUGGCCUGUAUGGCCAAAAUUUCUUGUAGUAAUCUGGUAUACUUACCUCCCUUGAUAUUUAUCAGUUUACAUACAGGACUGCUUUGGUCUAUAUUGACUAUUUUGGCCUGUGCUGGAAAUUUGGGCUGGUAAACCCAAUUCAGCCCAGUACCAACCUUGCCUUCUUCCUCUGCUCUCCUCCUCUUCCUCUUGGCCUCUUCUUCUUCUUCUCUAAGUUUCUUGGUUUCUCCAUCCCACCUGACAACCUAUGUGGCAACCUUUUUUACUUUCUUACCUUUUGUUUUCCUUAGGUCAAUGUCAGGUGGUUAGGUUAGUGUAAAAUUUACCUGAGUUAGGUUAGUUUAAAGUUUACUCUGGUUUCCCAUUCCACAUGAAUUUACCUUGGUAGUUUUUUUUUAAAAUUUUUUUUUUAUGAAGGGUGGUAGAGAACAUAUAUUUAUUUAAGAAUAUAAAAGUGUGUGUGUAUAUUAAGUUUAUAAAUAAUUAUGUAUAAAUAUAAAAAUAGCAGUAAUCCUAAAAUUGUACACUAGUACUUCAUUUUCUUGACCAAUUUGAGGCGACUACUGGUUUGGUAUUGACAACAUUAGAAUCAUUACCUAUCAUAUAAUCAUCCACAUAUUUUUUAAUUCAAUGUGUAAUAAUGACUUUCAACUCAUUAGGCCAUUAAAAAAUCACUCAUACAAUUAAAAAUUUGUUUCUGAUAACUUUGCUUGAAAUAGAAUAACACGUGUGUGUGAGCUUAUUUUGUGUGCAAAAAAUAUAGAUGCAUAGUGAAGUUUCCAAAAACUGUACAUAAGCCACUCUCUCCACUGCCCAUAUCACCACCUCCCAAGCCUCCAGUAGAUUGGUCCUUGCUCAAUACUAAUUAUACUCUCUAUUGGCUCUCUUUUUGUGGCAUCAGUUUAUCAAAAUCUCCAGAUGGUGAAGUCUGAUUUAUACCAUGUAUAUGAAUGGUGGCUUAAUCCUUUGGCCAGUUUGAUAAUUGUUGAUCCAUAAUAUUACAAAUUGUGAAAAUUUUCUUUGUAAACCUCUACCACUGCUUAUGUUGCUAAUCAGUGUUUUGCUUUGCAUUUUUGAUCUUGUUCUAAUUCUUGCACAUCUGUAUUUUGAAGAGAAACUUCCAGUUACAUUGUCAUAUGCACAGGCUUCUGUUUUGCUCUGCAUUGGAUUGCAAGGCCAUAGCUUUUCUUAUCUCGAGGUUUGUUUCUCAACUUGGAUGAUGUAGUCAUUCAUUGAAUAUACGAUUCUCCUAAGCAUAUUGUUAUGCAUGAAUCUUGCCCUACUACUCUUGUCUCACCUUACACGUCAAACCUUACACACUUGUUCGGAUAUUCAAGUAGGAGACACUCUUCUAUAAGAUUGGAUUUUUCGACAUCUUGGUUUUUUCUUUUAUUCUUAUCAGCAUCUAUGGAUGGAGACAUGUUUGCUUAAACUCUUAUUUUACAGGGACAGAUGAAGCUAGAAAGAGAAUAAAUAAUGUCACUGUUUAUAAAAGUUAUGAAAAUGUUCUACAAAUAUUUGCUCAGUAUUUCUUCCAAGGAGGUUGAGUCAACGCUGCUUUGACUGAAAGAAGUAAGUUGAGCGACUGAGGAAGUAUUUCCAUGAUUUAGAACGUGAAUGUGCAGUUCCUGCUUUCCCAUCUAUCUAUCUAUAAUUUAUGUUAUUCGUAAGUUGGCCAAAAUGACCAAGUAUCACUAUUUGGCAAAAUAUGUAGGAUCUACCACUAUUUGCAAAAUAAUUAGGGAUCUACCAUUUUUUUAAACUCGUGUUUGCCAUGUAACUCAAGUUUCACAAGGUACGUCUCCUUUGUUGCCCUCUCAUCCUUACUAGAGAGCUCAUGCCAGGUUCUGGGCUGAUUUUGUUGAUAACAAGGUUUAUUAUGUUUCAAGGAAGGUAUUGACCACAAAAGGAGAAGAGCUGGAGGCAGGCAAGA